RNAcentral lists this ribosomal RNA (467 nucleotides) under uncultured bacterium. RNAcentral describes it as "partial 16S ribosomal RNA". It matches the Rfam family "Bacterial small subunit ribosomal RNA", at positions 29 to 507 of the family's 1533-position model. The record is from RNAcentral.
ACGAACGCUGGCGGCGUGCUUCACACAUGCAAGUCGAACGGAAAGGCCCUGCUUUUGUGGGGUGCUCGAGUGGCGAACGGGUGAGUAACACGUGAGUAACCUGCCCUUGACUUUGGGAUAACUUCAGGAAACUGGGGCUAAUACCGGAUAGGAGCUCCUGCUGCAUGGUGGGGGUUGGAAAGUUUCGGCGGUUGGGGAUGGACUCGCGGCUUAUCAGCUUGUUGGUGGGGUAGUGGCUUACCAAGGCUUUGACGGGUAGCCGGCCUGAGAGGGUGACCGGCCACAUUCGGACUGAGAUACGGCCCAGACUCCUACGGGAGGCAGCAGUGGGGAAUAUUGCACAAUGGGCGGAAGCCUGAUGCAGCAACGCCGCGUGCGGGAUGACGGCCUUCGGGUUGUAAACCGCUUUCGCCUGUGACGAAGCGUGAGUGACGGUAAUGGGUAAAGAAGCACCGGCUAACUACGUG